RNAcentral lists this ribosomal RNA (497 nucleotides) under uncultured bacterium. Its description in RNAcentral is "partial 16S ribosomal RNA". It matches the Rfam family "Bacterial small subunit ribosomal RNA", at positions 28 to 507 of the family's 1533-position model. The record is from RNAcentral.
GAUGAGCGCUGGCGGCGUGCCUAAUACAUGCAAGUCGAGCGAACGGACGAGAAGCUUGCUUCUCUGAUGUUAGCGGCGGACGGGUGAGUAACACGUGGAUAACCUACCUAUAAGACUGGGAUAACUUCGGGAAACCGGAGCUAAUACCGGAUGAUAUUUUGAACCGCAUGGUUCAAAAGUGAAAGACGGUCUUGCUGUCACUUAUAGAUGGAUCCGCGCUGCAUUAGCUAGUUGGUAAGGUAACGGCUUACCAAGGCAACGAUGCAUGGCCGACCUGAGAGGGUGAUCGGCCACACUGGAACUGAGACACGGUCCAGACUCCUACGGGAGGCAGCAGUAGGGAAUCUUCCGCAAUGGGCGAAAGCCUGACGGAGCAACGCCGCGUGAGUGAUGAAGGUCUUCGGAUCGUAAAACUCUGUUAUUAGGGAAGAACAUAUGUGUAAGUAACUGUGCACAUCUUGACGGUACCUAAUCAGAAAGCCACGGCUAACUACGUG